This 232-nucleotide ribosomal RNA is filed under the name uncultured bacterium. RNAcentral's name for it is "partial 16S ribosomal RNA". It matches the Rfam family "Bacterial small subunit ribosomal RNA", at positions 524 to 754 of the family's 1533-position model. The record is from RNAcentral.
UACGUAGGGGGCAAGCGUUGUCCGGAAUCAUUGGGCGUAAAGAGCGUGUAGGCGGCCCGGUAAGUCCGCUGUGAAAGUCCAGGGCUCAACCCUGGGAUGCCGGUGGAUACUGUCGGGCUCGAGUCCGGAAGAGGAGUGUGGAAUUCCGUGGUGUAGCGGUGAAAUGCGCAGAUAUCAGGAGGAACACCAAUGGCGAAGGCAGCACUCUGGGACGUGACUGACGCUGAGACGC